This 255-nucleotide ribosomal RNA is filed under the name uncultured bacterium. RNAcentral describes it as "partial 16S ribosomal RNA". It matches the Rfam family "Bacterial small subunit ribosomal RNA", at positions 524 to 776 of the family's 1533-position model. The record is from RNAcentral.
UACGUAGGGGGCUAGCGUUGUCCGGAAUCAUUGGGCGUAAAGAGCGUGUAGGCGGCCCGGUAAGUCCGCUGUAAAAGUCAAAGGCUCAACCUUUGAAUGUCAGUGGAUACUGCCGGGCUAGAGUCCGGAAGAGGCGAGUGGAACUCCUGGUGUAGCGGUGGAAUGCGCAGAUAUCAGGAAGGAACACCAACUGGCGAAGGCAGCUCGCUGGGACGUACUGACGCUGAGACGCGAAAGCGUGGGGAGCGAAACAGG